CUCAGAUCAGAAGAGUCAUUUACCGUUGACCGUGACUCACUGCUCUCAACUGAGCUGUGGACAAUGAGUUCCCAGGACUGGAAGGCGGGAGCAUAGGCUCUGUACCUCUAAGAAGCCCCAACAAGCUGAAUGGAAUUUUGACAGAUGGCAGAGGAAGCGGCAACACUUACCAGAAACUGGACUCGAACCAUCCUAUUGUUAAGAGUAUGAAGAUACUACAAGACUUAUCCUAGAGUGUCUUCCAUAUUGUAGACUAUUAAUAAAUGCCUGUGGGGUUGAGAACAUCUGAGCUGGUGUCCCUAAGUUGGCCCUUAUGCUGAAACCAUAGAGUGGACUGUCUUGCUGAUGGAUUAGAGCCAGGGGACUCAUGCGUCAGGUGGUGCUGCAGACUACCUGAGAUGUCAGGCAUGGAGCACAGCAAAGAGCAACGACGGCCCCAUCACGAACUCAGCAACAGCUGCUGCCUUGAUGACACUUCCUGAGCGCUUCCACAUUCUGGCCAGAGAGCCCGGUCAAAGGCUGCAAGGGCGAUGGACCCGGGCAGGCUUUUCCCCUCAGAAUCACAAAGUUAGAAUGGGCUAUCGAGAUCAACCAGCCAACCCACAGCUGAACAGAAAUCUCUUCCACCAUAGCCCUAAAAAAGUUGUUUUUCUGGUCUCCCCAUGAACACCUCCAGUGAUACGGAGCUCAUUGCCCUCGAAAGCAGUCCGUUCUGCUUUUGAACACCUCUAAUGUGGGGCAGGUUUCCCUAACAUCAAGUUAAUCUGGGUCCCAGAGAGCAGAACUAACAACAAUGGGUAGAAACCGUAGAGAGGCAGAGGAGAAAGAGGAGAAUCUCUUGUCGCCUAUACCAACUCUUCUUCCGUGUCCUAAACAUUAUUUUUCCAGGUAAUCUUCUUAUGGCAGCUAGGUGGCACCAUAGUGUAUAAAGCACUGGGCUUAGAGUCAAGAAGACCUGAAUUUAAAGAUGGCCUUAGACAUUCACUAGAUGGGUGAUCCUAAGUAAUUUUCUUAACCGCUGUUUGCCUCAGUUUCCUCAUUUGUAAAAUGAGGAUAAUAAUAGCACCUACAUCCAGGGUUGUUGUGGGGAUC
Vombatus ursinus (common wombat) is the source of this 1092-nucleotide long non-coding RNA. RefSeq lists it as uncharacterized. The transcript has 4 exons. NCBI's taxonomy places the organism in Eukaryota, Metazoa, Chordata, Mammalia, Diprotodontia, Vombatidae. The record is from RefSeq and is a predicted model, not a curated record.